CAGUAGCCACGGGAAUACGAAGGGGGCUAGCGUUGCUCGGAAUUACUGGGCGUAAAGGGCGCGUAGGCGGCGCUCCAAGUUAGGCGUGAAAUUCCCGGGCUCAACCUGGGGACUGCGCUUAAGACUGGAGUGCUUGAGGAUGGAAGAGGGUUGUGGAAUUCCCAGUGUAGAGGUGAAAUUCGUAGAUAUUGGGAAGAACACCGGUGGCGAAGGCGGCAACCUGGCCCAUUACUGACGCUGAGGCGCGAUAGCGUGGGGAGCAAACAGGAUUAGAUACCCCUGUAGUCCCUGUCUCUUAUAC
This 301-nucleotide ribosomal RNA is filed under the name uncultured bacterium. RNAcentral's name for it is "partial 16S ribosomal RNA". It matches the Rfam family "Bacterial small subunit ribosomal RNA", at positions 509 to 807 of the family's 1533-position model. The record is from RNAcentral.